CAUUUUUGGCUAGUCACAGUGGUUCGGUUGCAUCGGGAGGGCACAACCACUCUAUGGCAUUGGAUGUCCAGGGGUAGAUAUAGAUUUGAGUCCAAUAACUGCUAGGUGAAAGAUCCAAUGAUGGCUUUGCAUCCGUUAGUGUACGAUGGGUCUAACUUAACUAAGAAAUAUAUCAAUAACUAUUAGGUGAGGCCAUAGGACUUAGAGACCAAAUCUGCUGC
This 221-nucleotide long non-coding RNA is filed under the name Elaeis guineensis (African oil palm). RNAcentral's name for it is "long non-coding RNA (EGUI_LNC027993)". The record is from RNAcentral. Lineage: Eukaryota; Viridiplantae; Streptophyta; Magnoliopsida; Arecales; Arecaceae.